GAGAAUUGAAGAACUGAAUCAGAGCCUGGCUGCCCAGGAGA
This 41-nucleotide small RNA is filed under the name Pan troglodytes (chimpanzee). Its description in RNAcentral is "processed transcript". The record is from RNAcentral. Lineage: Eukaryota; Metazoa; Chordata; Mammalia; Primates; Hominidae.